Molecule: ribosomal RNA, 465 nt
Filed under: Vreelandella stevensii
Lineage: Bacteria; Pseudomonadati; Pseudomonadota; Gammaproteobacteria; Oceanospirillales; Halomonadaceae
Description: partial 16S ribosomal RNA
Rfam family: Bacterial small subunit ribosomal RNA
Source: RNAcentral
CCUACGGGUGGCAGCAGUGGGGAAUAUUGGACAAUGGGCGAAAGCCUGAUCCAGCCAUGCCGCGUGUGUGAAGAAGGCCUUCGGGUUGUAAAGCACUUUCAGUGGGGAAGAAAGCCUUGGGGCUAAUACCCUCGAGGAAGGACAUCACCCACAGAAGAAGCACCGGCUAACUCCGUGCCAGCAGCCGCGGUAAUACGGAGGGUGCGAGCGUUAAUCGGAAUUACUGGGCGUAAAGCGCGCGUAGGCGGUCUGAUAAGCCGGUUGUGAAAGCCCCGGGCUCAACCUGGGAACGGCAUCCGGAACUGUCAGGCUAGAGUGCAGGAGAGGAAGGUAGAAUUACCGGUGUAGCGGUGAAAUGCGUAGAGAUCGGGAGGAAUACCAGUGGCGAAGGCGGCCUUCUGGACUGACACUGACGCUGAGGUGCGAAAGCGUGGGUAGCAAACAGGAUUAGAUACCCUGGUAGUC